Molecule: ribosomal RNA, 446 nt
Filed under: uncultured bacterium
Lineage: Bacteria
Description: bacterial SSU rRNA
Rfam family: Bacterial small subunit ribosomal RNA
Source: RNAcentral
GUAAGGAAUAUUGGACAAUGGAGGCAACUCUGAUCCAGCCAUCCCGCGUGUAGGAAGAAGGCCCUAUGGGUUGUAAACUACUUUUGUCAGGGAAUAAACCUCUCGAUUCACUCGGGAGCUGAAGGUACCUGAAGAAUAAGCACCGGCUAACUCCGUGCCAGCAGCCGCGGUAAUACGGAGGGUGCAAGCGUUAUCCGGAAUCACUGGGUUUAAAGGGUGCGUAGGUGGCAUCGUAAGUCAGAAGUGAAAGUUUGCGGCUUAACCGUAAAAUUGCUUUUGAUACUGCAAUGCUUGAAUCAGGUUGAGGUUGGCGGAAUGUGGCAUGUAGCGGUGAAAUGCUUAGAUAUGCCAUAGAACACCGAUUGCGAAGGCAGCUGACUGGACCUGUAUUGACGCUGAGGCACGAAAGCGUGGGGAGCGAACAGGAUUAGAAACCCUGGUAGUCC